This 341-nucleotide long non-coding RNA is filed under the name Androctonus crassicauda. The record is from RNAcentral. Lineage: Eukaryota; Metazoa; Arthropoda; Arachnida; Scorpiones; Buthidae.
AUUAGUUUUAAUGUCGAAGUCUUUCUUCGAAUCCACCUUUACUCCCAAAUUUACCGUAACUUCUCGUAAUUCAAGGCCAAAGUAUUCUUUGUUCUCUUUGUUCCUUUCCUCUUCCUCUUCGCACUGGGAACUGUUCUUGAACAUAACCUGUCUCAAACGAUUACGAUCACGACGGAGUCUUCGUUCCAUGACCUUUCAGUUACGAAUAGGUGGCAUCAUAGUGGUGCAUAUCGAUGUGGUAUUCAUCAAUGAAUAUAAGUUUGUAUUUUUCUCAUAGCGUAUGAAUCUCCAAAGAAGAAGAAGCGUAUGAAUUUCUAAGCACACAGGAGGAAAAGAGAAAG